UCCAAUUUUUGGUCACCUUAGAUUCAUUAAGGAGGGGGGGGGAGAUUUCCCUUCUGUACCGGGGGAAAUGCGUAGAUAUGUGAGAGGAAUCCCGGUGGCGAAGGCGGCCCCCCCGCCCAAAGAUUAUACUUCAGUUGGGAAAGCGAGGGGAGCAACCAGAAUUAAAUUCCUUGGUAGUCCAGUCCUGUAACCGAUGUGAAUUUGAAGGUUGUUCCCUUGAGGAGUGCCUUUGGAAGCUAGCGCGUUAAUUAAGCCGCCUGGGGAGUGCGUCCGCAAGGUAAAAAUUCAAAUGAAGGAACGGGGGCCGGCCCAAGCGGGGGGGCAUGGGUUUUAAUUAAAUCCAAGGGAAAGACCCUUCCUUACUUUUGCCUUCCAGAUAUCUUAGCAGGAAUGCAUUGGUCCGUUCGGGAACUUGAACCCAGGUGCUGCAGGGCCGUGGCCAUCUGGUGUUGGGAAAGUUUGGUUUAAGUCCCACACCGAGCCCAACCCUAACCCUUGUUUCCAGUCGAUUCGGUCGGGCACUCAAAGGAGACUGCCGGUGAUAAACCGGAGGAAGGUGGGGAUGACGUCAAGUCAUCAUGGCCCUUACGAGUAGGGCUACACACGUGCUACAAUGGCGUAUACAAAGAGAAGCGACCUCGCGAGAGCAAGCGGAACUCAUAAAGUACGUCGUAGUCCGGAUUGGAGUCUGCAACUCGACUCCAUGAAGUCGGAAUCGCUAGUAAUCGUAGAUCAGAAUGCUACGGUGAAUACGUUCCCGGGCCUUGUAAACGCCGCCCGUCCCAACCAUGGGAGUGG
Molecule: ribosomal RNA, 798 nt
Filed under: Providencia sp.
Lineage: Bacteria; Pseudomonadati; Pseudomonadota; Gammaproteobacteria; Enterobacterales; Morganellaceae
Description: bacterial SSU rRNA
Rfam family: Bacterial small subunit ribosomal RNA
Source: RNAcentral